GACGAACGCUGGCGGCGUGCUUAACACAUGCAGGUCGAACGGAAAGGCCCUGCUUUUGUGGGGUGCUCGAGUGGCGAACGGGUGAGUAACACGUGAGUAACCUGCCCUUGACUUUGGGAUAACUUCAGGAAACUGGGGCUCAUACCGGAUAGAAGCUCCUGCUGCAUGUUGGGGGUUGGAAAGUUUCGGCGGUUGUGGAUGGACUCGCGGCUUAUCAGCUUGUUGGUGGGGUAGUGGCUUACCAAGGCUUUGACGGGUAGCCGGCCUGAGAGGGUGACCGGCCACAUUGGGACUGAGAGACGGCCCAGACUCCUACGGGAGGCAGCAGUGGGGAAUAUUGCACAAUGGGCGGAAGCCUGAUGCAGCAACGCCGCGUGCGGGAUGACGGCCUUCGGGUUGUAAACCGCUUUCGCCUGUGACGAAGCGUGAGUGACGGUAAUGGGUAAAGAAGCACCGGCUAACUACGUG
This 468-nucleotide ribosomal RNA is filed under the name uncultured bacterium. RNAcentral's name for it is "partial 16S ribosomal RNA". It matches the Rfam family "Bacterial small subunit ribosomal RNA", at positions 28 to 507 of the family's 1533-position model. The record is from RNAcentral.